Molecule: ribosomal RNA, 274 nt
Filed under: uncultured bacterium
Lineage: Bacteria
Description: partial 16S ribosomal RNA
Rfam family: Bacterial small subunit ribosomal RNA
Source: RNAcentral
AUACGGAGGGUGCAAGCGUUAUUCGGAAUCACUGGGCGUAAAGGACGCGUAGGCGGGUUGGCAAGUCAGAUGUGAAAUCCUACAGCUUAACUGUAGAACUGCAUUUGAAACUGCUAACCUAGAGUAUGGGAGGGGGAGAUGGAAUUAGUGGUGUAGGGGUAAAAUCCGUAGAUAUCACUAGGAAUACCGAAAGCGAAGGCGAUCUCCUGGAACAUAACUGACGCUAAGGCGUGAAAGCGUGGGGAGCAAACAGAAUUAGAUACCCCUGUAGUCC